UGGCGGCAGGCCUAACACAUGCAAGUCGAACGGUAACAGGAAGAAGCUUGCUUCUUUGCUGACGAGUGGCGGACGGGUGAGUAAUGUCUGGGAAACUGCCUGAUGGAGGGGGAUAACUACUGGAAACGGUAGCUAAUACCGCAUAACGUCGCAAGACCAAAGAGGGGGACCUUCGGGCCUCUUGCCAUCGGAUGUGCCCAGAUGGGAUUAGCUAGUAGGUGGGGUAACGGCUCACCUAGGCGACGAUCCCUAGCUGGUCUGAGAGGAUGACCAGCCACACUGGAACUGAGACACGGUCCAGACUCCUACGGGAGGCAGCAGUGGGGAAUAUUGCACAAUGGGCGCAAGCCUGAUGCAGCCAUGCCGCGUGUAUGAAGAAGGCCUUCGGGUUGUAAAGUACUUUCAGCGGGGAGGAAGGGAGUAAAGUUAAUACCUUUGCUCAUUGACGUUACCCGCAGAAGAAGCACCGGCUAACUCCGUGCCAGCAGCCGCGGUAAUACGGAGGGUGCAAGCGUUAAUCGGAAUUACUGGGCGUAAAGCGCACGCAGGCGGUUUGUUAAGUCAGAUGUGAAAUCCCCGGGCUCAACCUGGGAACUGCAUCUGAUACUGGCAAGCUUGAGUCUCGUAGAGGGGGGUAGAAUUCCAGGUGUAGCGGUGAAAUGCGUAGAGAUCUGGAGGAAUACCGGUGGCCGAAGGCGGCCCCCUGGACGAAGACUGACGCUCAGGUGCGAAAGCGUG
RNAcentral lists this ribosomal RNA (738 nucleotides) under uncultured Pseudomonadota bacterium. Its description in RNAcentral is "bacterial SSU rRNA". It matches the Rfam family "Bacterial small subunit ribosomal RNA", at positions 37 to 763 of the family's 1533-position model. The record is from RNAcentral. Lineage: Bacteria; Pseudomonadati; Pseudomonadota.